This 433-nucleotide ribosomal RNA is filed under the name uncultured Lachnospiraceae bacterium. RNAcentral's name for it is "partial 16S ribosomal RNA". It matches the Rfam family "Bacterial small subunit ribosomal RNA", at positions 341 to 792 of the family's 1533-position model. Lineage: Bacteria; Bacillati; Bacillota; Clostridia; Lachnospirales; Lachnospiraceae. The record is from RNAcentral.
ACGGGAGGCGGCAGUGGGGAAUAUUGCACAAUGGGGGAAACCCUGAUGCAGCAACGCCGCGUGAGUGAAGAAGUAUUUCGGUAUGUAAAGCUCUAUCAGCAGGGAAGAUAAUGACGGUACCUGACUAAGAAGCUCCGGCUAAAUACGUGCCAGCAGCCGCGGUAAUACGUAUGGAGCAAGCGUUAUCCGGAUUUACUGGGUGUAAGGGUGCGUAGGUGGCAUGGUAAGUCAGAUGUGAAAUACCGGGGCUCAACCCCGGAGCUGCAUUUGAAACUGCCUGGCUGGAGUGCAGGAGAGGCAAGCGGAAUUCCUAGUGUAGCGGUGAAAUGCGUAGAUAUUAGGAAGAACACCAGUGGCGAAGGCGGCUUGCUGGACUGUUACUGACACUGAGGCACGAAAGCGUGGGGAGCAAACAGGAUUAGAUACCCUGGUA